Podarcis lilfordi (Lilford's wall lizard) is the source of this 76-nucleotide non-coding RNA. The record is from the annotation of a GenBank genome assembly. Lineage: Eukaryota; Metazoa; Chordata; Lepidosauria; Squamata; Lacertidae.
CCAGAUAUAGCUCCAUUGGUUAGAGAGUGGUGCUGUUAACACCAAGGUCAUAGGUUCAAUCCCUGGGAUGGCUGGA